Molecule: transfer RNA, 99 nt
Filed under: Trichoderma virens Gv29-8
Lineage: Eukaryota; Fungi; Ascomycota; Sordariomycetes; Hypocreales; Hypocreaceae
Description: tRNA-Ile for anticodon AAU
Rfam family: tRNA
About the family: Transfer RNA (tRNA) molecules are approximately 80 nucleotides in length. Their secondary structure includes four short double-helical elements and three loops (D, anti-codon, and T loops). Further hydrogen bonds mediate the characteristic L-shaped molecular structure. tRNAs have two regions of fundamental functional importance: the anti-codon, which is responsible for specific mRNA codon recognition, and the 3' end, to which the tRNAs corresponding amino acid is attached (by aminoacyl-tRNA synthetases). tRNAs cope with the degeneracy of the genetic code in two manners: having more than one tRNA (with a specific anti-codon) for a particular amino acid; and 'wobble' base-pairing, i.e. permitting non-standard base-pairing at the 3rd anti-codon position.
Source: Rfam by way of RNAcentral
GCUUCCGUAGCUCAGUUGGUUAGAGCUUCGUACUAAUACUAGAUGCCUUAUCUAGCUUUGGUAAUGCGAAGGUCGCAGGUUCAAGCCCUGCCGGGAGCA